RNAcentral lists this ribosomal RNA (399 nucleotides) under uncultured actinomycete. Its description in RNAcentral is "bacterial SSU rRNA". It matches the Rfam family "Bacterial small subunit ribosomal RNA", at positions 9 to 421 of the family's 1533-position model. Lineage: Bacteria; Bacillati; Actinomycetota; Actinomycetes; Actinomycetales. The record is from RNAcentral.
GAGUUUGAUCCUGGCUCAGGAUAAACGCUGGCGGCGCGCCUUAACACAUGCAAGUCGCACGAGAAAGGGGAGCAAUCCCUGAGUAAAGUGGCGUACGGGUGAGUAACACAUGGGUAAUCCACCCUUUAGUGGGGAAUAACCCUGGGAAACCGGGGCUAAUACCGCAUAAGCCUGAGAAGGGAAAGCAGCAAUGCGCUGAAGGAGGAGCCCGCGGCCGAUUAGCUAGUUGGUGAGGUAACGGCCCACCAAGGCGAUGAUCGGUAGCCGGCCUGAGAGGGCACACGGCCACACUGGCACUGAAACACGGGCCAGACUCCUACGGGAGGCAGCAGUGGGGAAUCUUGCACAAUGGAGGAAACUCUGAUGCAGCGACGCCGCGUGAGCGAUGAAGCCCUUCGG